RNAcentral lists this small nucleolar RNA (90 nucleotides) under Lodderomyces parapsilosis CDC317. Lineage: Eukaryota; Fungi; Ascomycota; Pichiomycetes; Serinales; Debaryomycetaceae. The record is from RNAcentral.
AUAUAUGAUGAUUUAACGAAAACAAAAGCUGGAAUUACUGGCUGAUAUCUUAUGAUUGAUAAAGUUUUUGCACCUUUACGCUAACUGAUU